AAUGACAACCUGUGCCUCUGGGACUCAGCUGCAAGGAAGACAAGUGGAAGGCAAGUGGACAUGUUUUUCUGUGUAUCCCAAAACAGGUAGCAGUGUCCUUGCAGCGCACUGGAUGGAUGGAUGAAGGCACUCUCCCAGGCUUCCAACUCUUGAACACCUGAGUGACCAUCAGGAGCCCACACAUCCUCAACAGAUCACACUGCUGCUUGGCCACUGCUCUCCACCCUCUUCUGAGGCUGCUGCUUAUACCACAGUGUUGAUGGCCUCCUCUCUGCUCCCCAGAGCAGAUGCUCCCACCAACACUGCUGCUCUUGGGCAUCAGAUAGGUUCUGUGAGCUUCACCAUUGUCAGAAGGCCCAGAUGGCUCCGGGAGGUCCCAUGGAUGCUCAGCCCAAACCAGGUUUUGAGUCUUUAUUUCGGUUGUAGCU
Molecule: long non-coding RNA, 428 nt
Organism: Gorilla gorilla gorilla (western lowland gorilla)
Lineage: Eukaryota; Metazoa; Chordata; Mammalia; Primates; Hominidae
Exons: 3
Source: RefSeq, a predicted model, not a curated record